AUGGCAACUUCCACUCUGAAACCAGGUGUGCCUGUCACUCUGCAAGAGCUAGCGCCCUCCUCGGAGAUGUUCAAGCAAGGGGCGUCCCUCCGGGUAACAGGAAUCCUCCAGUCAUAUGACGUCGACUCUGCGGUCGCCGUUAUUCAGGACGGCAGCGCAAGGUUGAGGAUCGACACCCAACACCUGAGGGACAUAAGUUUUCGCAGCGGUUCUGCUUUCCAGUUCAUCGGCGAGCUCCUGAUUCGGCCAAACGACGACGUAAUUCUCUGUCCUUCUCCAGCUUUUGGCAGUCUAAUAUCAGUCUAUCAAUGCUGCAUCAAAUUUGUUGCUUACAUCCUGCAGGUGAUUUUGCAAGCACGUGUGGGCAGGAACGUCGAUGGUCUUGACCUGAACCUUUACCAGCAGUCUUUGAUCAUCCGGCGGCAGCAUGAAGCCAAACUGUUGAGCUCCAGUAGGGUGUGA
Molecule: ribosomal RNA, 462 nt
Filed under: Triticum aestivum (bread wheat)
Lineage: Eukaryota; Viridiplantae; Streptophyta; Magnoliopsida; Poales; Poaceae
Description: partial small subunit ribosomal RNA
Source: RNAcentral